Non-coding RNA from Misgurnus anguillicaudatus (oriental weatherfish), 1499 nucleotides. The record is from RefSeq and is a predicted model, not a curated record. NCBI's taxonomy places the organism in Eukaryota, Metazoa, Chordata, Actinopteri, Cypriniformes, Cobitidae.
UCGCCUGAAAAGUCCGCUCCCCUUCUCACACUCAUAAUGGGAGAGGGAGGGUGUUACUGCGCCGAGUCGAAGUACUCCCAAAAGUGCUAUUACGCCAUAAAAUGUAGCUCCUCUUUUAAAUCCGCUUAGAAAAGCGCUACGUUUUAUUUUGUACCACCAAACUUGCUCAGAUAACUACUCGUCUUAAAUAGGAAAAACGUUGAUGUGUUUGGUCACUUCUAACUUUAUCUCUAAAUGGUACCAUUGAAUGAAUGGGGCUAAGCUAAAUGCUAUCGAAGCGUAGCAGCGCGCUCCAGCGCUUACGUGCACGCACACAGACGAUAGAGGGAUGUAUCAACUAUUCUUAGUUAAGGUAAUAACAUAUUUUAAUAUUGAAAAUGAGUAGACUAUUCCUUUAAAUCAACAACUUUGAGAGUACGUUAAGUAUUCUCAUCUCAUGCUAAAUCCUCGUCUCUGUUUCUAACCAGUUAAUAUUGAUCUUUGUAUUAUUUAUCUAUUUAGUUAAAUAGUAAACACAUACAGUAUAGUCUUUAUGUUAUGUCUAAAGUCUUUGUUUUUGCAAUUUACGUACAGGAAUAAGAUUGACUAUGAAUAGUUUUUCAGUAAGGAUCAGGUCACUGCAUGAGAGAUCGUGGUGAGGGCGACUUGUUUCAGGUCGAUGAGAAAGUCAAACAACAUAAACUGAGUGUAUAUGAAAACACAAAAGACAGCUAAAAUGCAUUUUAUGCAGACGUUUUUGUGGGUUCUACAUCUGUGCAUAGACAAGCUAAAUUUGUUCAUAAGUGCUUCAGUUUAAUGACAGUAGCCUAGUAAAUAGAGUUUACAUGUGUCAUAUUUAGAAUCAGUUUACAUAUAACAUUGAUUCUUAAUUCUUGAUAUUGUUUAAUGUCAUUUAUUCACCGAUUGUAUUAAAGGACUCUCACUCUUGUUGUGUAAUACUGUCACAGAGCAGUUGUUCUUGUGUCGCUGGGACAGCACAUUGUUGCACUACUCAGAGCUUGGCAUCAGUGAAGUUCACAGCUGUACUGAAACGGAGGAGAGCUGACACAAACCUAGAACAAUGGUAUUUUUUAUUUAAUCAACAUUUUACUGUAAUGUAGUAUUCCAAACUUUGCUGUAAUUUGUAUUAAUGUUAACAUGGCCACUGUGUGUUUUCUAUGUAUUUUCAGAGGUUCUGUCUGCAAGACCCAAAGAAAGGAAGCUUGCUGAUGUAUUAAAGGAACAGUAUGUAGGAUUGUGGCCAAAACUGGUACUGCAAUCACAAAACGUGUGGCUAAAACUGGUACUGCCCUCACACAAGUGGUGGCCAAUACACAACAUGACAACAUAAACAUCAGUUGAGGGCUGCAACUCCACUUUUUAAAUGACAAUAUCCUGGCUAGACCACUGUUGUCAGUGAUAUAAGUAUUUGAAAUUAAAAUGAUUUCUUGAUGUCUAGUGACAUAUCAGGGCCAUUUUAUGAUUAAUUGAUAUAAAUUUCUUACAUACUGUUCCUUUAA